GACGAACGCUGGCGGCGUGCCUAACACAUGCAAGUCGAGCGGGGUUGAAGCGAGGGGUAACUCGGACUUCUACCUAGCGGCGGACGGGUGAGUAACGCGUGGGCAACCUGCCUCAAGGUUUGGGAUAACAGCUCGAAAGGGCUGCUAAUACCGGAUAUGCCUGUGGCCUCGCAUGGGGCUAUGAGCAAAGGGGAAACCCGCCUUGAGAUGGGCCCGCGUCCCAUCAGCUAGUUGGUGAGGUGAAGGCUCACCAAGGCGACGACGGGUAGCCGGCCUGAGAGGGUGACCGGCCACACUGGGACUGAGACACGGCCCAGACUCCUACGGGGGGCAGCAGUGGGGGAUCUUGCACAAUGGGCGAAAGCCUGAUGCAGCGACGCCGCGUGAGCGAAGAAGGCCUUCGGGUUGUAAAGCUCUGUCUGGAGGACGAAACAAAGUAGACGGUACCGUCCGGAGGAAGCCGACGGCUAACUACGUG
This 478-nucleotide ribosomal RNA is filed under the name uncultured bacterium. RNAcentral describes it as "bacterial SSU rRNA". It matches the Rfam family "Bacterial small subunit ribosomal RNA", at positions 28 to 507 of the family's 1533-position model. The record is from RNAcentral.